RNAcentral lists this ribosomal RNA (406 nucleotides) under uncultured bacterium. RNAcentral describes it as "partial 16S ribosomal RNA". It matches the Rfam family "Bacterial small subunit ribosomal RNA", at positions 30 to 526 of the family's 1533-position model. The record is from RNAcentral.
AUUGAACGCUGGCGGCAGGCUUAACACAUGCACGUCGAACGAGUGGCGGACGGGUGAGUAAUGUCUGGGAAACUGCCUGAUGGCGGGGGAUAACUACUGGAAACGGUAGCUAAUACCGCAUACUAUCAGAUGUGCCCAGAUGGGAUUCGCUAGUUGGUGGGGUACCGGCUCACCAAGGCGACGAUCCCUAGAUGGUCUGAGAGGAUGACCAGCCACACUGGAACUGAGACACGGUCCAGACUCCUACGGGAGGCAGCAGUGGGGAAUAUUGCACAAUGGGCGCAAGCCUGAUGCAGCCAUGCCGCGUGUAUGAAGAAGGCCUUCGGGUUGUAAAGUACUUUCAGCGGGGAGGCGUUACCCGCAGAAGAAGCACCGGCUAACUCCGUGCCAGCAGCCGCGGUAAUAC